GGAGCCGACCGGGCAGUCGCUGUGGCUUUUGGCGCAGAGGAAAGUCCGGGCUCCACAGGGCAAGGUGCCAGGUAACGCCUGGGAGGCGCAAGCCUACGGAAAGUGCCACAGAAAAGAGACCGCCUACCCCCAAUUGGGGCGGCAAGGGUGAAAAGGUGCGGUAAGAGCGCACCGCAUCGGUAGUAAUACCGGUGGCAAGGUAAACCCCACCUGGAGCAAGACCAAAUAGGGGAACCAGCUGCUUUGCGGCGAGACGUGGCCCGCGUCGUUCCCGGGUAGGUCGCUAGAGGUGUGCGGCGACGUACACCCAAGAUGAAUGAUUGCCACCGUAAUAGGGCGGCGGCCCAAAUUGCGGAACAGAACCCGGCUUACAGGUCGGCUCCCUUU
Molecule: RNase P RNA, 387 nt
Filed under: Gammaproteobacteria bacterium
Lineage: Bacteria; Pseudomonadati; Pseudomonadota; Gammaproteobacteria
Description: RNase P RNA component class A
Rfam family: Bacterial RNase P class A
About the family: Ribonuclease P (RNase P) is a ubiquitous endoribonuclease, found in archaea, bacteria and eukarya as well as chloroplasts and mitochondria.
Source: RNAcentral